AUGUUUCAUCAUUCACUUAAAAUAGUCGAUUGGUCAUACAUUGAGUACCAUAUAACUGGAAUUAACCGAUGCAAGUCCAAGAAGGAUUGGCCGGUUCUGUCGGCUAGCGUCAAGUUCGAUCCCACGGAUCAAGAACUGAUUGAGCACCUUGAGGGCAAAGUGAGUGCUGACAGCGUGAGAUCUCACCCUCUCAUCGAUUUGUUCAUGGCAACCAUCGACAGCGAGCACGGCAUAUGCUACACCAAUGCUGACAAACUUCCAGGUAUCACACUGAGUGGCCUAAGCAAGCAUUUCUUCCAACGCAACUCCAGGAAGUUCAAAAGGGGCACAUGGACGCGUAGCAAUAUACAAUCAGAGUGCGGCAUGCACGCGAUGUGGCACAAGACCGGCAAUACCUUGCCGGUGAUGGUCAACGGCCGGCAGACGGGCAGCAAAAAGGUUCUGGUGCUGCACACCAACAAGAACUUCGACCAGAAGAGGACCAACUGGGUGAUGCACCAGUACCACCUCGGGGACCUGGAGCAAGAGAAGGAGUGGGAGAUGGCCCAACCCAUGACGACAAUGGGGCACAAAGAUCCAGAAGGUAUCUACUGGCCUCUGGCCCGCCAGCAUUAG
RNAcentral lists this ribosomal RNA (615 nucleotides) under Triticum aestivum (bread wheat). Its description in RNAcentral is "partial small subunit ribosomal RNA". Lineage: Eukaryota; Viridiplantae; Streptophyta; Magnoliopsida; Poales; Poaceae. The record is from RNAcentral.